UAGGGAAUAUUGGACAAUGGGGGAAACCCUGAUCCAGCAAUGCCGCGUGAGUGAUGAAGGCCUUAGGGUUGUAAAGCUCUUUCGGCGGGGACGAUGAUGACGGUACCCGCAGAAGAAGCCCCGGCUAACUUCGUGCCAGCAGCCGCGGUAAGACGAAGGGGGCUAGCGUUGUUCGGAAUUACUGGGCGUAAAGCGCACGUAGGCGGCCUAUCAAGUCAGAUGUGAAAGCCCCGGGCUUAACCCGGGAACUGCAUUUGAUACUGAUGGGCUAGAGACCGGGAGAGGAUAGCGGAAUUCCCAGUGUAGAGGUGAAAUUCGUAGAUAUUGGGAAGAACACCAGUGGCGAAGGCGGCUAUCUGGACCGGUACUGACGCUGAGGUGCGAAAGCGUGGGGAGCAAACA
This 402-nucleotide ribosomal RNA is filed under the name uncultured bacterium. RNAcentral's name for it is "bacterial SSU rRNA". It matches the Rfam family "Bacterial small subunit ribosomal RNA", at positions 355 to 774 of the family's 1533-position model. The record is from RNAcentral.